Molecule: ribosomal RNA, 726 nt
Filed under: uncultured bacterium
Lineage: Bacteria
Description: bacterial SSU rRNA
Rfam family: Bacterial small subunit ribosomal RNA
Source: RNAcentral
AGGUGCAAGUCGAGGGGCAGCGCGUCGUAACAAUACGAUGGCGGCGACCGGCGCAAGGGUGCGUAACGCGUGAGCAAUCUGCCCGUAUCAGGGGGAUAAGCGAUGGAAACGUCGUCUAAUACCGCAUAACAGCCGGGGAGGCAUCUUCCUGGUUUGAAAGCUUCGGUGGAUACGGAUGAGCUCGCGAGACAUUAGUUAGUUGGCGGGGUAACGGCCCACCAAGACCGCGAUGUCUAGGGGAACUGAGAGGUUGGUCCCCCACACUGGAACUGAGACACGGUCCAGACUCCUACGGGAGGCAGCAGUGAGGAAUAUUGGACAAUGGUCGGAAGACUGAUCCAGCCAUGCCGCGUGAAGGAUAAGGUCCUAUGGAUUGUAAACUUCUUUUGAGUGGGAGCAAUAAGGGUAUCGUGAUACCCGAUGAGAGUACCAUUCGAAUAAGCAUCGGCUAACUCCGUGCCAGCAGCCGCGGUAAUACGGAGGAUGCGAGCGUUAUCCGGAUUUAUUGGGUUUAAAGGGUGCGUAGGCGGUUUUUCAAGUCAGCGGUGAAACGCAAGGGCUCAACCCUUGACCUGCCGUUGAAACUGUUGGACUAGAAUGCGGAUGCUGUGGGAGGAAUGUGUGGUGUAGCGGUGAAAUGCAUAGAUAUCACACAGAACACCGAUUGCGAAGGCAUCUCACAAAUCCGUGAUUGACGCUGAGGCACGAAAGUGUGGGGAUCAAACA